Molecule: long non-coding RNA, 419 nt
Filed under: Nicotiana benthamiana
Lineage: Eukaryota; Viridiplantae; Streptophyta; Magnoliopsida; Solanales; Solanaceae
Description: long non-coding RNA (NBEN_LNC002193)
Source: RNAcentral
UUCCAGCUUAUGCGGGGGCGGGGCGGGUGCGGGUUGAAGUUUUUUUGUUAAACUUAAAUCGGUUGCGGGUUUUAGGAGAAUUUGAGCAAUCCAUAGAAUCUGGUUAUAUAAUUCUUCCGCUAAGCCUAUAGUCAUUCAGUAAUCCUUAUUUUUUUACGUCUUUACCACAUUAUAUCCAAUAUUAAUUCCCUCAAUUGAUGUAUUACAAAAAAAUUGCUAUAUUUAGUUUGUAUUGCUAAACCAAUAUAUGCAUUUGGCUCAUCAUUCUACAAAACCAAUUAACUUAGUUGGGUUCACAUUUGUCUAGAAAGGAUCCUAAGAAGAUUCAAAAUGAUCAGUAGGGUAACAACAAAAGUUUUACCCCUUUAAUUUUCUGGGUUUGCUUCCAUUCUAAUAAUGUUUUUGAUUCUUGAUUUUAA